Molecule: long non-coding RNA, 228 nt
Filed under: Panax ginseng (ginseng)
Lineage: Eukaryota; Viridiplantae; Streptophyta; Magnoliopsida; Apiales; Araliaceae
Description: long non-coding RNA (PGIN_LNC002131)
Source: RNAcentral
GAAAGAAGAGUAUUCCUAUUGGUAGGGCGAGGAUAUACUCGAAGAAAACUUGCACUAUGCUCAAAGCUUUCUUAAACUCUAAAUAAAUACGCUCAAGAUUAUAGAAGAAGAAUUCUCUCUAUAAUUUCUCUCUCUAGAGUUUCAGUGAAUUCGUAAGAAAUAAUGAAAGAAUGAGCUUUUAAUUAUAGGAGAAUGGACUGCAUAGUAACUAAUUCAUGAACGGUCCAG